AGCGAACGCUGGCGGCAGGCCUAACACAUGCAAGUCGAACGAACCUUUCGGGGUUAGUGGCGGACGGGUGAGUAACACGUGGGAACGUGCCUUUAGGUUCGGAAUAACUCAGGGAAACUUGUGCUAAUACCGAAUGUGCCCUUCGGGGGAAAGUUUUAUCGCCUUUGGAGCGGCCCGCGUCUGAUUAGCUAGUUGGUUGAGGUAAUGGCUCACCAAGGCGACGAUCAGUAGCUGGUCUGAGAGGAUGAUCAGCCACAUUGGGACUGAGACACGGCCCAAACUCCUACGGGAGGCAGCAGUGGGGAAUCUUGCGCAAUGGGCGAAAGCCUGACGCAGCCAUGCCGCGUGAAUGAUGAAGGUCUUAGGAUUGUAAAAUUCUUUCACCGGGGACGAUAAUGACGGUACCCGGAGAAGAAGCCCCGGCUAACUUCGUG
Molecule: ribosomal RNA, 434 nt
Filed under: uncultured bacterium
Lineage: Bacteria
Description: partial 16S ribosomal RNA
Rfam family: Bacterial small subunit ribosomal RNA
Source: RNAcentral